CAGACUUAUGUUUUCUCAAAAUUUCCUCGUUUUCGAUUUUAAACCGAAAGUCAAGGAUUGUACUAGCCAGUCCAUAAUAUGCCUUUGCAGUUAAAUAUUGUCCCAUUACGGGAUAACCACAUAAACGUGCAACAACUGAGGCUAUAACCCCAUAAGCAGAACUAAUAGCUAAAAAUGUGUGACAUGCGAAAUAGCGAAAGUGAUAUCUAAUACAUUUCGGGAGAGUAAAAAAUCGGUUGAUUCCGCACAAACCAACAAAUACUGUCACAGUAGCAAGCAGCGUGCUCUUAAUAAAACCCAUUUCGAAUAUGUACACAGUAGAGAAGAGCAAACUUUCAACAACCCUUCCUUUCGUUUUAAAGUAUGGUUGGUGCGGUGAUAGUAACGUUGGUGAUUCGUAAUAAAAAUGAAUGGCCUGAGGACAUUUCAUUAAUUGCACACUUUAAACUUAAGUUAUACCCACGGUGAUUUUAUACACAAUUUUUUUUAUCAUUGGUUAUUAAUGAUAUCUAUUAUACCUUUAUUUUAAUAUAUAACUUCUAAACGAAAAUCAUCAUUUUUAAACCUAACCAGAAUGAAGACGUAAACAUUCUAACUCAUUAACUUAUUCAUUCGACAAUUUUUUGGCAUCCCUAAAAUACAAGACAUAAUUUCUUAAGUUUCCAGAUUCCUAUAAAUUUCACCUGUUUCAGUUAACAAAUUUUCUUCGGGAAUAUCCAGAUUUUCAAUCGAUUCCUUAAUAAUAUGCGUAGCCUUGCCGUCUA
Molecule: non-coding RNA, 764 nt
Organism: Schizosaccharomyces pombe (fission yeast)
Lineage: Eukaryota; Fungi; Ascomycota; Schizosaccharomycetes; Schizosaccharomycetales; Schizosaccharomycetaceae
Source: the annotation of a GenBank genome assembly